GACGAACGCUGGCGGCGUGCCUAAUACAUGCAAGUCGAGCGAAGUGUUUCUGGUGCUUGCACCGGAAAAACUUAGCGGCGAACGGGUGAGUAACACGUAAAGAACCUGCCUCAUAGACUGGGACUACUAUUGGAAACGAUAGCUAAUACCGGAUAACAGCAUUACCUGCAUGGUUGAUGUUUAAAAGUUGGUCUUGCUAACACUAUGAGAUGGCUUUGCGGUGCAUUAGCUAGUUGGUGGGGUAAAGGCCUACCAAGGCGACGAUUCAUAGCCGACCUGAGAGAGGGAUCGGCCACCCUGGAACUUGGCCACCGCCCAUACGCCUACGGGAGGCAGCAGUAUGGAAUCUUCCGCAAUGGUCGAAAGCCUUACGGAGCAACGCCGCGUGAGCGAAGAAGGAUUUCGGUUCGUAAAGCUCUGUUUUUAGGGAAGAAUGAUUGUGUAGUAACUAGACACAGGAGAGACGGUACCUAACCAGAAAGCCACGGCUAACUACGUG
Molecule: ribosomal RNA, 499 nt
Filed under: uncultured bacterium
Lineage: Bacteria
Description: partial 16S ribosomal RNA
Rfam family: Bacterial small subunit ribosomal RNA
Source: RNAcentral